UUAUGGCUCAGGAUGAACGCUAGCGGCAAGGCUUAACACAUGCAAGUCGAGGGGCAGCGGGAUGUAGCAAUACAUGCCGGCGACCGGCGGAUGGGUGCGUAACGCGUAUGCAACCUACCUUAUACAGGGGAAUAACCUUUCGAAAGGGAGACUAACACCCCAUGGUAUUGAUUUAAGGCAUCUUAGAUUAAUUAAAUAUUUAUAGGUAUAAGAUGGGCAUGCGUAUGAUUAGCUAGUUGGUAAGGUAACGGCUUACCAAGGCGACGAUCAUUAGGGGUUCUGAGAGGAAGGUCCCCCACACUGGUACUGAGACACGGACCAGACUCCUACGGGAGGCAGCAGUGAGGAAUAUUGGUCAAUGGGCGCAAGCCUGAACCAGCCAUGCCGCGUGCAGGAAAGACGGCCUUAUGGGUUGUAAACUGCUUUUACAUAAGACUAACCGUAUAUUUGCGAAUAUACCUGAAUGUAUUAUGAGAAUAAGGAUCGGCUAACUCCGUGCCAGCAGCGGC
This 509-nucleotide ribosomal RNA is filed under the name uncultured bacterium. Its description in RNAcentral is "bacterial SSU rRNA". It matches the Rfam family "Bacterial small subunit ribosomal RNA", at positions 17 to 518 of the family's 1533-position model. The record is from RNAcentral.